GGAGGCGUGGCAGAGUGGUUGAAUGCACCGGUCUUGAAAACCGGCGAAGGUGCGAGCCUUCCGUGAGUUCGAAUCUCACCGCCUCCGCCA
Molecule: transfer RNA, 90 nt
Filed under: Moraxellaceae bacterium
Lineage: Bacteria; Pseudomonadati; Pseudomonadota; Gammaproteobacteria; Moraxellales; Moraxellaceae
Description: tRNA-Ser
Rfam family: tRNA
About the family: Transfer RNA (tRNA) molecules are approximately 80 nucleotides in length. Their secondary structure includes four short double-helical elements and three loops (D, anti-codon, and T loops).
Source: RNAcentral